Molecule: ribosomal RNA, 253 nt
Filed under: uncultured bacterium
Lineage: Bacteria
Description: partial 16S ribosomal RNA
Rfam family: Bacterial small subunit ribosomal RNA
Source: RNAcentral
AACGUAGGAGGCGAGCGUUAUCCGGAGUUACUGGGCGUAAAGCGCGCGCAGGCGGUUGUGUAAGUGGGCUGUGAAAGCUCCCGGCUAAACUGGGAGAGUGCGGCUCAGACUGCAUGACUAGAGUGAGGUAGAGGAGCGUGGAAUUCGGGGAGUAGCGGUGAAAUGUGUAGAGAUCCCGAGGAACACCAGAGGGGAAACCGGCGCUCUGGGCCUUAACUGACGCUGAGGCGCGAAAGCUUGGGGAGCGAACGGG